UAGGGAAUCUUCCACAAUGGACGCAAGUCUGAUGGAGCAACGCCGCGUGAGUGAAGAAGGUUUUCGGACCGUAAAGCUCUGUUGUUGGUGAAGAAGGAUAGAGGUAGUAACUGGCCUUUAUUUGACGGUAAUCAACCAGAAAGUCACGGCUAACUACGUGCCAGCAGCCGCGGUAAUACGUAGGUGGCAAGCGUUGUCCGGAUUUAUUGGGCGUAAAGCGAGCGCAGGCGGAAGAAUAAGUCUGAUGUGAAAGCCCUCGGCUUAACCGAGGAAUUGCAUCGGAAACUGUUUUUCUUGAGUGCAGAAGAGGAGAGUAGAACUCCAUGUGUAGCGGUGGAAUGCGUAGAUAUAUGGAAGAAUACCAGUGGCGAAGGCGGCUCUCUGGUCUGCAACUGACGCUGAGGCUCGAAAGCAUGGGUAGCGAACAGGAUUAGAUACCCUGGUAGUCCAUGCCGUAAACGAUGAGUGCUAAGUGUUGGGAGGCUUCCGCCUCUCAGUGCUGCAGCUAACGCAUUAAGCACUCCGCCUGGGGGAGUACGACCGCAAAGGUUGAAAC
This 556-nucleotide ribosomal RNA is filed under the name uncultured bacterium. Its description in RNAcentral is "partial 16S ribosomal RNA". It matches the Rfam family "Bacterial small subunit ribosomal RNA", at positions 355 to 900 of the family's 1533-position model. The record is from RNAcentral.